GCAUAUCAAUAAGCGGAGGAAAAGAAACUAACAAGGAUUCCCUUAGUAACGGCGAGUGAAGCGGGAAGAGCUCAAAUUUGAAAUCUUCAAGGUUUUACCUUGACGAAUUGUAGUUUAAAGAAGUGUUUUCUGUUGAAGUUUUGGUAAAAGUUCUUUGGAAUAGGACAUCAUAGAGGGUGAGAAUCCCGUAUUUGACCAUUAUUUUCAGCUGUGUGAUACACUUUCAAAGAGUCGGAUUGUUUGGGAAUGCAGUCCAAAAUGGGUGGUAAAUUUCAUCUAAAGCUAAAUAUUGGCGAGAGACCGAUAGCGAACAAGUACCGUGAGGGAAAGAUGAAAAGAACUUUGAAAAGAGAGUUAAACAGUACGUGAAAUUGUCAAAAGGGAAGCGUUUGACACCAGUGUUGUUUUCUCGAAAAUCAAUUAAAAAGAGUUUGAUUUUGUUGUGUAUUGACCUUAACAGCUUGCAUUUCAAUUUUCUUGCUUUUUUUAAUGCACUUUUCGUUUAACAAGUCAACAUCAGUUUCUUUUGUUGUAAAAAGGUCAUUGGAAGGUGGCUUUCUUUUCGGAGAAAGUGUUUAUAGCCUUUGACUCCUGCAAUCGGAGAGACUGAGGUCUGCAGCGUAGAUCCUUCGGGGUUAGAUACAUUUGUGCUAAGUUAUAGCUUUUUAUAGACAACUUGUUGACUAUGAUUAGUCUUGUAGCUUACUCGCUUAUGCUAUUUAC
This 723-nucleotide ribosomal RNA is filed under the name Piromyces sp. ARI1. Its description in RNAcentral is "eukaryotic LSU rRNA". It matches the Rfam family "Eukaryotic large subunit ribosomal RNA", at positions 38 to 619 of the family's 3401-position model. The record is from RNAcentral. Lineage: Eukaryota; Fungi; Neocallimastigomycota; Neocallimastigomycetes; Neocallimastigales; Neocallimastigaceae.